AAGGAUUUAAGUUAAUAAAACUAGUAACCUUCAAAGUUUCAAAUAAAGAUUCAAUUUCUUUAAGCCUUA
This 69-nucleotide transfer RNA is filed under the name Heteronitis castelnaui. Its description in RNAcentral is "tRNA-Trp". It matches the Rfam family "tRNA". Rfam says of the family: Transfer RNA (tRNA) molecules are approximately 80 nucleotides in length. Lineage: Eukaryota; Metazoa; Arthropoda; Insecta; Coleoptera; Scarabaeidae. The record is from RNAcentral.